This 253-nucleotide ribosomal RNA is filed under the name uncultured bacterium. Its description in RNAcentral is "partial 16S ribosomal RNA". It matches the Rfam family "Bacterial small subunit ribosomal RNA", at positions 524 to 776 of the family's 1533-position model. The record is from RNAcentral.
UACGUAGGGGGCAAGCGUUGUUCGGAAUUACUGGGCGUAAAGGGCGCGUAGGCGGCACAGCAAGUCGGGAGUGAAAGCCCGGGGCUCAACCCCGGAACUGCUUUCGAAACUGCUGAGCUAGAGUACAGAAGGGGCAACCGGAAUUCCCAGUGUAGCGGUGAAAUGCGUAGAUAUUGGGAAGAACACCUGAGGCGAAGGCGGGUUGCUGGGCUGAUACUGACGCUGAGGCGCGACAGCGUGGGGAGCAAACAGG